This 706-nucleotide ribosomal RNA is filed under the name Pseudomonadota bacterium. Its description in RNAcentral is "bacterial SSU rRNA". It matches the Rfam family "Bacterial small subunit ribosomal RNA", at positions 28 to 729 of the family's 1533-position model. The record is from RNAcentral. Lineage: Bacteria; Pseudomonadati; Pseudomonadota.
AUUGAACGCUGGCGGAAUGCUUUACACAUGCAAGUCGAACGGCAGCACGGGGGCAACCCUGGUGGCGAGUGGCGAACGGGUGAGUAAUAUAUCGGAACGUGCCCAGUCGUGGGGGAUAACGUAGCGAAAGUUACGCUAAUACCGCAUACGAUCUACGGAUGAAAGCGGGGGAUCGCAAGACCUCGCGCGAUUGGAGCGGCCGAUAUCAGAUUAGGUAGUUGGUGGGGUAAAGGCUCACCAAGCCAACGAUCUGUAGCUGGUCUGAGAGGACGACCAGCCACACUGGGACUGAGACACGGCCCAGACUCCUACGGGAGGCAGCAGUGGGGAAUUUUGGACAAUGGACGCAAGUCUGAUCCAGCCAUUCCGCGUGCAGGACGAAGGCCUUCGGGUUGUAAACUGCUUUUGUACGGAACGAAAAAGCUCUUACUAAUACUAGGAGUCCAUGACGGUACCGUAAGAAUAAGCACCGGCUAACUACGUGCCAGCAGCCGCGGUAAUACGUAGGGUGCGAGCGUUAAUCGGAAUUACUGGGCGUAAAGCGUGCGCAGGCGGUUAUAUAAGACAGAUGUGAAAUCCCCGGGCUCAACCUGGGAACUGCAUUUGUGACUGUAUAGCUAGAGUGCGGCAGAGGGGGAUGGAAUUCCGCGUGUAGCAGUGAAAUGCGUAGAUAUGCGGAGGAACACCGAUGGCGAAGGCAAUCCCC